CUACAAUCAUGGCAGUAUUUUUUGUCAACAGCAGCUCACGUAGUGAAUGUUGAUACUUAGGGUCUGAGUGA
Rhinopithecus bieti (black snub-nosed monkey) is the source of this 71-nucleotide small nucleolar RNA. Lineage: Eukaryota; Metazoa; Chordata; Mammalia; Primates; Cercopithecidae. The record is from Ensembl.